Mustela erminea (ermine) is the source of this 92-nucleotide long non-coding RNA. RefSeq lists it as uncharacterized. NCBI's taxonomy places the organism in Eukaryota, Metazoa, Chordata, Mammalia, Carnivora, Mustelidae. The record is from RefSeq and is a predicted model, not a curated record. The transcript is spliced from 3 exons.
GAGGAAAAAGAAAAGACCAAAAUCAGCAGUGUAAAGGCAGGAAACACAAAACCAGUAAGCAUGAAUAUUUCUGUAAACAAAAAUCAGCAACA